This 72-nucleotide transfer RNA is filed under the name Heterocephalus glaber (naked mole-rat). It matches the Rfam family "tRNA". From Rfam's summary of the family: Transfer RNA (tRNA) molecules are approximately 80 nucleotides in length. The record is from Rfam by way of RNAcentral. Lineage: Eukaryota; Metazoa; Chordata; Mammalia; Rodentia; Bathyergidae.
UGUGGAGUAGCUCAAUGGUAGAGCUCUUGCCUAGCAUACAGAAGGUUCUAAGUUCAAUCUCCAGCACCACAA